CUGAGGGAGCGUCUUGGUGAGUUCCUGGGUGAAGAUGCUAUUGCAGAAAAAUUUUUAUUUCUGAAAUGCAUUGGAAAUAAUUUAGCUGUGGUGAAGGAAAAGCAAGAAUCAGAACUGAAACUCAAAUCAUUUGCUCCUCCAUAUGCUCUUCAACCAGAAUUAUAUUUGCUUCCUGUAAUGGACCAUUUAGGAAAUGUUUUUUCACCAUCAUCAACAGUUAUUUUAGAUGAGCGGCAGACUAAUAAUGGUGUUAAUGAGGGUGAUGGAACAAUCCACAGACCAAUUAGUGUAACUUUGUUCAAGGAGGAACCUGGAAGAGAUCCCAGUUUGUUAGAAAACACUUUGAAAGAGCUUCCUAACAAGAAUCAGGAAGAAGAAAUGAAGACACAUACAGACUCUUAAAGCCUCAUAUAUUAAAAUAUAAACAUUUCAUAUCAAUAAAUAUAGAUCUGUGUCAUUA
RNAcentral lists this small RNA (460 nucleotides) under Pongo abelii (Sumatran orangutan). Its description in RNAcentral is "processed transcript". Lineage: Eukaryota; Metazoa; Chordata; Mammalia; Primates; Hominidae. The record is from RNAcentral.